RNAcentral lists this long non-coding RNA (491 nucleotides) under Homo sapiens (human). RNAcentral describes it as "non-protein coding lnc-ARMCX1-1:5". The record is from RNAcentral. Lineage: Eukaryota; Metazoa; Chordata; Mammalia; Primates; Hominidae.
AAGAUUUGGGAGAGGGAGAGGAUUAAUCCUGAUUUGAACUCUUCGAAUUUGAAGUGCUUAUGUACUAUGAUUUGAAUAUGGUUUAUCCCCAUCCAAAGUCAUGUUGAGGAUGGGUUCCCAAUGUGACAGUGUUGGGAGGUGGUACCCUUAAGAGGCAUUUGUGUCAUGGGGAAUCUCUCCUGAUGAGGGUAUGAAUGCAGUCUCUUUGGAGUGGGAGAGUUCUUGUGCUCAUGGGACUGGAUUAGUUACUGUGAGGAGGUUGGUUGUUAUAAAGUGAGUCUGCCUCUUGUGCUUGGUGUCUUUUGCGUGUACCUGUUUCCCCUUUUGUUUCUUUGCCAUGUUUUGAUGCCCUCAAAAGAAGUUGUCGGAUGUGACUGCCCAGUCUUGAACUUCCCAGCCCUCAAAACUAACAUAUCUUCCAGUAGCUUCCUGAGAAAGUGUAUAUGCAAAGCACACUUCUGAGAUCUUUCAGAUGGUUUUGCCACAUUGCC